This is a long non-coding RNA of Acanthopagrus latus (yellowfin seabream), 5784 nucleotides long. RefSeq lists it as uncharacterized. The transcript is spliced from 2 exons. The record is from RefSeq and is a predicted model, not a curated record. NCBI's taxonomy places the organism in Eukaryota, Metazoa, Chordata, Actinopteri, Spariformes, Sparidae.
UGCACUCAUGCACAAACAGGAACAGACACACGCACACAGAUCGGAUGCACUAGUAGACACAAAUCAGUGUGUCAACACGUGUGUGGAUGAAAACACUGAAUGUUUGCGCAACAAUGUUUGGCUGAAUAUUAGACUGGUGUUUGAUUUUUUUCUCUCUGCACCGGAUAAAAUCGUAUUUAUGUUUAUUUAAAUUUUAUAUAUUGAUGGUCAGGUUUUUUAGUGUUUUGAGGAAAGCUGGAAUUUGUACGUAAAAGGGAAGCCAAGGCACCAGUGGGGUGGAUUGCAGGAACCCAAAGAACUACAGGGCCUGUGCCCACAACCUGCCACGACAGGAAAGUAGUCUUGUGGGUCGCAAAUGAGGUGACUAGAGGGUUGUCUGUGUCGGCCGCAGCAGCAGACUUGCUUGUUAACAGACUGUCCAGCUAAAGAAGCAGACUUGUGGGUACAAAACACAGACCGGUUUUUAUAUGUCAUGUCAAUUAUGUCAGUUUGACAUCUGUUUGAUCUGGGAUGCUCUCUUCAAUGAUGAAGAGCUACUGACCUUGACUUGGCAUAUUGUUUUGUGAGAAAAGAACCACUUUGAGCAACUUCUAAACCUAAGCGACAUGUACAUGGUUAGAGUGACUGAGGACUCGGGAAUGCCUUGCCCAUCAAUCUGGCAGAGGACACUAAUAAACUUAAAAAAGCACUUCAGAGGCAAGGCACGAGGGAUGGAUGGCUUUUGCCCUGAAGUGCUGGGGGUUCUGAAUAUUUUUGAAUGUCAUGAGUUGUCAGAUCCAAUUUUAAAAACGGAACAGAGUGUGUGCUCCAGUUAUUGGAAUAUCACACUUCUGUGCCUUCCUGGGAAAUCUUCAUGUUGGAAAUUAGGUUGCAGCUGACUGGAGCCUCAGAUCCAGCAGGAGUGAUGCUGUUUCAGUCGUGGUUGUUAAACAAUAGACAAGCUCUUUACACUUGCAAGGAUCCUAAAAGGGUCAGCAAGGUGGUGGCUCAUCUCCAAAGACAAAAUCUUAAGGAAUUAAGUUUUCACUUUGGUCAUGUCAGGAUUGUCAGGACCAAGUAGCUGAGUCCACCUCCAAGUCUCAGACAAACAUAUUCACAAAAUGUAGACCAACCAGGCCAUCACGUUUCCUUGUCCAGAAGAGGAAAAUAUCAGAGACCAAAAUGACGUACUUUUGGACAUGCAUAAAGUUCAAGAUACACAUAGAUUAAUAUCAGCUUUUAGGUGCAAGUCGCAGAGUCGCUCUGAUCGUUCGUGUCACACUUCUGUUAUAUCUGCUAGCUGUAUUUUGCUGGAAUUCUCUAAAAUCAGUGGCCAUUUUUGCUGCCAAAAAAACAAACUUUGAUGCCAACACUCAUCAUCUCAGGGUAUGAAUUGAAAGAAUGUGAGAAGAGUUAAUACCCAGACAUACGAAAAGAAGCUCAGGAUCACUGCUUCGACUGUGAAGGACACCUAUUGAGGCAGUUAUGAUGCCUUCUUGACCCUAAAAAUAAGUCGAACAUCUCGGCUAGGAAGAAGGACCUGUGGACAUUCUUGUUUAUCCUGCUGGAACCAUGACCUGGAUCUGAAUGUGGGAAAAAAACGGAUUACCGUGGUCCCUCAGGACCAGAUUAAGUUUUAUGACCCUGGGAAACCCGUACAUAAUUCUUCAUACAGAAUCAAAAACCUUUGUCCUCCUCUGGAAACUAAGACCUCCUUGUAAGAGUUUAAUUAGUAGGAUUUCUGGAAUGGAAUGUUUAAUAGCAUACACUGUUUAACUUGAAAGGCUGAGAUAUUUUUGCCCUGUUAGGUUCUUCUAAUUAUUCUGUCGCCAUGGCAGCACGCAGUUGAUGUCUGUGGAACAACGAGCAGCAUAAAUGUUCCAACAAACAUCCAAAACACUUGGUGGUGGAAUAUGGGUGUUUUUCCUCAAGACUCUCCCCUGACAUGAGACAGAGGGAAGUGGAGGGAGAGACAGAAAAUGAGUGGGCGUGGGGUUGGGUCUGGUCCUGCCAAGCUGUGGGAAAAUCCCACGUACUUUCUCCCCGACUCCUACUCACAGCACACAGAUGGAGGAGGGGAGGAGAGCAGAGGCAAGGGGGCAGGAGGUGUACGGCGGGGUGGGGGGAGUGUAGAUAAGAGAAACAGCGGAGGGAGAAAAGACAAGGAGAAAAUAAUGGAGGAAGGAAAGCAGAGGCUAGCUCAAAGAAAGAUCAUAAUUCCCCUUCUCUCAAACCUUUUUUCCUUUUUCUCUCCCUUGCUAACAGUCUUCACCUCCUUCCCCAUCUUUCUCUAGCUCUUCCCUCCCUCUCUAUUCACCCCCCUCUCCACGAUGAAGUGUGUUGAAGCGUCUGGCGUGGGUCCCUCUCUCUUCAAUCAGAAGAUGGAGAGAUUGUUUUGAUUGCUCAGCCCACUAGCGCCAGAAGUCUCAGCGCCUGUUUCCUGUACACAGAUUAGCUAUUCUGAAAACUACUGCACUUGGAGGACGUCCCUUUAAGUUUUUUUGUUUUUUUUUCUUUCCAAUUCCAGGAAGGGACAGAAGUUCUUGUCCCGCUUGUGAAAGCAUGUUAUUACUUAUUUCAUGCGGGAACCCACUAGAAACAAGCCUGAGGCUCAUUUCACGUCUAUAUUACGUAUUUUAAGAAGCACUGGCCUGUAAUAAUGAUAACUCUUAAUGUGAAAAUCAGGGGUUCAAAGGGUUCUUAAGAGAAGUUUAGAAGUCAGACUCACUGUAGGUUUGUGAUUUUUAAACUGAUGUAAAUUGAUGAUAUAGUACACCAUGUGUAGGCAUGGAUUUCAGUGGGCUUAAAUUACUUCAUUUGCAUAAAAGAAUAUUCUUUCAUUGUUGUUGUUUUCCCUAAAGCAUGGUACCGAAUUCAUUACAGCCUGUGUGUAUCUGUGUGUGCUUUUUGUCCGUUCAAGCGUGUGUAACCAUUCUAAACUAUAAUCUACGUCACCAGAUCGCAGUACUGUGUACUUAUGGCCUAUUUUGGGCUAGUUUGUAACCUGAGAACUGCUUUUUACGCGGCCACCACAGGGUUUUGGGGGAGUUCAAGUUCGGUAAAAGUUUAGACUCACUGAAAGCUGAGCGUGCGCAUGUCCGUGUGCGCAUGUGUGUGUGUGUCUGUGUGUGAGCAUGCAAGAGCGUGAAUGGCUUCUUUGUGUGAGAUCAGUCCUGUUGGGAUUUCAUACUCUGGUAGAAGCAUGGCAGGGUGGAAAAUGUACUACAGAUCUGACGUCUGGAUAAAUAGUUACAUGAUUUCGAAAACCUUGUUGAACAGUUGUUUUUAUACACACCGUACUAUAUGUUAAGCCUCACGAGAUCAUUCAUGUUUGUGGCGAGGAAAAUCCAACAUGGCAAACCAUUUCUUAAAUAUUUAUGACAUGAUUUGUUUUUUCCAGCAUUUACUGUACAGUUUGGUAUUGCUAGUUUCACCCUUGUAGAUUUUAAGGCCUCAGUUUACUUCAAUGAACUGCUUUUCAGAUCUUCUAACAGCAAAUCUUUGUGACAAAUAUUAUAAAAGACUCUUAAUGAUUUGUAACAGUUUUGGAAAGAAUGAACUAUGAUGUUGUGCCAAUAGAGGCAUCACAACGAAAACUGCUUCUAGUGUAUGCGCUGUUCUAACGGCCCAGAUACAACAAACCUACAUCAAAGAACUAGCAGCGGUGAAGACUGUUGUGUUGCCUCACAGUGCCUGUUCUGUGCCUGCGUGAGAGGAAAUAACUCUCCAUACCACCAGGUGGCAGUAGUCUGUAUUCCUCAUUCAAAAAAUGGAAAUCGUAACACUCAGGCCUGCACUUCUAAUCAAGAAUAGAGCUAGUAAAAAGUUGUGAGAGGCUCUGGCAAAGAGCUUGAGGAGAAACCACGCUAAUUGGGCGUAAUCGUGGCUAUAAAAUCAACAGACUCAAUUGGCUUGCUUUUUCUUUUUGUGGUUCUUCUCAUGCACUGUUACGCUUAGCUGAACAGGUUGACCUAUCACUGAUGGGCUCAACCACUGAUUCAACAUGCUCAUUUGGCCAAAAAGCUGCUGACUAGUGCCAGCGGCGCAGGGUGGCCCGACAUUGGCCUAAUCGUCAAUAGUCAAUUUAGAGGACCUACCCACAUCAUGCCCACUUCACGCAGCAAUUGCCCAGGGAGGAGAUGUGGAAGUAGGAAGGGUUUGAACAUCUUUCUUAAAGGCAUAUAAUGCGAAAUUUGUUGGUUGCCAUUUUGUAAACACACCACUGAAAGGUGCAGUAAGACAUUUUGGAAAAAGUCAUACGCACAGUUGGCAAAAAACACCUUUUUUUUUUUAUAGGAAAAUCCUACUUUGCAUACCUUUUAAGCUUUCUUUUUUCAUUCAUUGUCACUUUUCAUGUGCUCAGCUAAGUAUGACAUUAUGAAUGCCUUUGACAAGAGGCAGUCUGGAAGUCUAUAAUUCAUUCUGUCAAGACUCCAAAGACACACAGUUCUUGGAGAGCGAUCAGAGGAUGUGAGUGUUAAGCAGCCAGGCUCCAUUUGGAGCAGAUAUAAACAUAUUUUCUAGGUAUAAACAAGUUGUAAGACCUUGCUUGUUUGAAAAAAAAUACUGAGGCCUUUAGCCCCAGAUUCCAUCCGGCCAUAACAGGGCUGCAUUACAGUCACUGCAGUUUUUUCAAAAUAAAACAUCGGUGCUGACUCCGUAUCUUGGUACGAGCAUCCAUAAUAGAAAUACCUGUUCCCCAAAUUUAAGUAGUGACCAGUGUACGUUAAGUUAACCCAGUCUGGCACAUACUGGCCGUUCCAUUCAGAUCAACUGUGUGGCCACAUUAGAUGUGUCGCCUGAACUGAACUCAGGUCUUUUACAUGGCUAUCAAAAACAUGUUAGAGCAGGUAACUGUAUCGUUGUGGAGAUCUGGGUUAGCAUGUCAGAACAGGGUAUUGUGUUAGCUGAUUAACCUUCCUGAAUGUAGCCUCAUUGUGAAGGGCUAGGUCGGACAGAUCAACACGCACGCACGCACGCACACUCACAGAGCUUGAAAGGAAAAGUGUGUCUGUACAGGACACUGUACCGCUCUUAUUUACGCCCACCCACUGUCUUUAGCUUGGCAGAUUCAAAAGUUAUAUAAAAUACCGUAUACAUCCAUAUAGGCACAUACAGUACAGGGACCAGGCUAAUCCAUAUUAUGUAAGAGCACAAAGGAGAUUGAUUUCUCCUCACAAAAAUUCUGUUGGAACAAUUUUUCCACCAUACUUGCCUUUUUCACUCGAUGUUAACGGAAGCUCGCGAUCAUUGUUAAUUCCUCCUAUUGAAUAUUGCUGUUGUCAUUUCCAGGAAGCAGUGCCUUUUGCUUGCGUGUAUAUAUGUGUGUCUGUUCCCACACGCAUUAAUCUGUCUAACUGUGAAUGCCCCACGCAGAGGAUGUGUGACUCUCUCAGUACAAAGGGUCUUUUUGCGGAGCUCCACUCCCUUCCACCUACUCCAACCAACGCUGCCACAUGAAAGGGUAAAAUUGGCAUUCAUUGAUAUUCACCAACUGCGACUUCGAUUGGCAAUGAUGGAAACAUGAAACUCUGGUUGUUCUCAAUGCCAUCAGGCAAGUUACAGUUAGGAUGUUGGCGUUUUCCAUCUGUUCCGAUUCAGGGCAGGGCGCUAACAUUCAGUUCAUGUUCAUUCAGAGUAUGAAAGAGAGACUGAUGUAAAACAAACACAAAAAGUGAUCACUGGGAAUUCUUCACUGGUGUCCUUGCUGGUUUCCACUUAAGCCUGUUUUCCAGAGUGUUUGUGAUGUCAAACGUGACGCACCAAAAAAACAAACAAGCCAGAUAUAAACAUGUCUUCUGCCAA